AACGAGGCCGACCUGCGGCUGAGUUACCUGCGGAGGGAUCAUUACUGAGUGUAAAAACUCCAAACCCAUGUGAACUUACCACUGUUGCCUCGGCGCAGUUUCCUGUCUGGUGGCGAGAGCUGCUGGGCGGGUUGCGCCGGUGGACUACCAAACUCUUGUAAUUUUGGCAUUCUGAAUAAAAAACUUAAUAAGUUAAAACUUUCAACAAUGGAUCU
Molecule: unclassified non-coding RNA, 215 nt
Filed under: soil metagenome
Description: partial contains 5.8S ribosomal RNA, internal transcribed spacer 2, and large subunit ribosomal RNA
Source: RNAcentral